AUGGAUGCUGCUGCUGAGGAGUCUCCCCGCCGGUGGCCAUGGGUCGUACCAUUUGUUGAUGGUGAGACAGAGCAGCCAGCCAAUGCCGUAGCCAAGGUCCUCUGCGACGACAACCUCCUUAGGGAGAUCAUAGUCCGCGUCGGCUUCCCAACCACCCUUGUCCGUGCCGCCCUCGUGUGCAAGCGCUGGCUCAGGCAUGCCGCCGACCCUGCCUUCCUCUCUCGUUUCCGCAAGCUCCACCCACCCUCCCUCCUAGGCUACUACUUCUCUGAGUGGUUGGUCUCGUCGAAGAAUCUAGGUGCUCCACCCUUUCACCUAAUGCUGCCUCAGCCCCUGCUGCAAGAGUCUUUUGGCCAUGCCCCCAUCACCAUCCACCUUUCUAGUCCACGCUUUGUCCCGAUGCUACCUCAGCCCCCAGAGCUUGCCACUGUCAUCCGUCACCUUGCUGACUACAGGUUCGGUGUCCACGAUGACACUCUACUGAUCAAGCACUGCCAUAACGGCACCAUCUUCACCCAGCAUGACAAAGGAGAAACAGAAUUGACACUUGGAGUGCACCGCCCGCUGUGCCCUGAGAGAGGUAUGCCUAUCGUCCCACCAUUCCCAUGUGUGGAACGCAAUCUCCAAUGGUUUGGUGCAAUGCUCUCCAAAGAAGGAAGCAACGGUGGCUUGUCCUACCUGUAUGUGUUGGGUACCAAGGACUUGGGAAAGUUCCUGGUGCAUGUGUAUGUGUUGCAAGAUGGUGUUUGGUCCCCGAAUACCUCGGCCACAUGCCAGCCCUGUCUUAUCCAUUGGGAACCAAAAGCUGUGCUUGUUGACAACAAAAUCUAUAUCCCGGCCCGCAACAAUGACAACAUUCUUGUCUUGGAUUUGAUGACCUCAACUUUCUCCACAAUUCAGCUCCCACAAGGAGUAAGCUAUAACUAUUUUAGGACCAUGCUGUCACCGGCCGAUGACGCUUCCGGCGUUUAUCUCAUCCAUGUCAACGGAUUUGAACUUCGCAUAUGGCUCUCCAAGGGGAACAGCUGGUUACUGGUCGAUACCAUUUGUUUGAAUAUGUUAGAUCACACGCUUGAGGACGACCAUAAUGCAAAUGUCCGGAUAAGCCAGGUUGAAAACAAUGCUGAGUUUGUUUUCUUGAGGAUGGGUGGAUGCACACUCUAUCUGGACGUCACGAGCAAGACACUGCGUAAAUUGCAUGAGAGGACAGAAAAUGGUCGACAUUUCAGUGAUACCAAGCCUUUUAUGAUGAUUUGGCCACCCAUAUUCCCUGUGCUCAAGGAUGAUCCUGCAAGGGAUGCCAUGUGA
This 1308-nucleotide ribosomal RNA is filed under the name Triticum aestivum (bread wheat). RNAcentral describes it as "partial small subunit ribosomal RNA". The record is from RNAcentral. Lineage: Eukaryota; Viridiplantae; Streptophyta; Magnoliopsida; Poales; Poaceae.